UGUGGGAGCGAGCCUGCUCGCGAUAGCGGUGUGACAGUCGACAUCAAUGUUGAAUGUUGUUCCGUCAUCGCGAGCAGGCUCGCUCCCACA
Molecule: unclassified non-coding RNA, 90 nt
Filed under: Pseudomonas arsenicoxydans
Lineage: Bacteria; Pseudomonadati; Pseudomonadota; Gammaproteobacteria; Pseudomonadales; Pseudomonadaceae
Source: RNAcentral